Molecule: transfer RNA, 86 nt
Filed under: Armatimonadota bacterium
Lineage: Bacteria; Bacillati; Armatimonadota
Description: Armatimonadetes bacterium (freshwater metagenome) tRNA-Tyr
Rfam family: tRNA
About the family: Transfer RNA (tRNA) molecules are approximately 80 nucleotides in length. Their secondary structure includes four short double-helical elements and three loops (D, anti-codon, and T loops).
Source: RNAcentral
GGAGGGAUGCCGGAGCGGUUAAUCGGGACGGACUGUAAAUCCGUUGGCCAGCGCCUACGGUGGUUCGAAUCCACCUCCCUCCACCA